This 1227-nucleotide long non-coding RNA is filed under the name Pan paniscus (pygmy chimpanzee). RNAcentral's name for it is "lncRNA (ENSPPAG00000044184.1)". Lineage: Eukaryota; Metazoa; Chordata; Mammalia; Primates; Hominidae. The record is from RNAcentral.
GGCUUAAUAGCAGAAGGCAAAUAACCAUAUAAAGCAAUAUCAUUUGUCCUGGGUGAGAAGUCCUAAAGAUGUGCAGAGGUAGACAAUCAGACGUUGAAAUGACUAAAGAAGUCUUCAUGGAUGAGUGGACAAACUGAACUUUAAACACAAAGUAGUAUUUGAAUAAGUGGAGGUGGAGAGUGUUCUGGACUGUUACAUUACAGAAAUGGAAUCGUAUAUACCUAGAGGCUGGAAAGUUUAAGGCAUCUUUGGAGAAAAUUUAGAUUAUUGGAUUUAACCAUAUGAAAUUGCUGUUCUUAUAGGUAAGAAAUGGUCAAAUAUCACCAAGUGCACAAGACUCAAGACUGGCAUAGUAGAAGACAAAGGUGGAUAUAUGGGAAUUAGUAAAUAAGCUGAAAAUGUGAAGUCAUGCAAAGAUUUGUUUGAAAAGCAAAACGUUUCAAUAAAAGGUCUUCCUGGAUUAAGAAUCUAAGUAUGAUUUUCAUGAACCACCACCACUAAAGAUCAGAUAAUAUUAUUCAUGCUGCAAUUUGAAAGGGAAGCAAGAGGAAAAUCAGACCGACUCUGCCACUGCAUAAAAUCACCCCCCUGGGAAUGAACAAAGCAUUCCGAGAAUGAGAAAUGGAAUAUUGGUGACUUCCUGGCUAACAGUUCCAUCUAGAGUGAACUGCGGUCAUGAUUUUCCAAUAACAGCCUGUUACUAAACCAAGAGAGGGAACCAACAAUGCCUGAGAAGAUUUGCAAGAACUUUGCCCAGCUGAGGCCCUUAAUGGAUGCAAUGAGGACAACUAACUCAAUCAAAUUCUCUUUUUGAAAGAAGAAUAAACUCUAAGUAAAGGGAAAGCUAUGGCAAUCAUGAGAAGACCUUGGGUUUUGACAGUAGAGACCUAGGACAGAAGUGGCCUGGACUGCUGAGUUGGAAUGCUGCUCAAACUCAAAAGGUGAUUUGUGGAAAAAGAAGCCCUCAUUAUGUUAAGACAGCUAAAGCACCAAGCUGUGAGGGUUGUACACUGCCCAGCCUAACUUUGCUUAUCCUGUCUAGGACAUGUCUCCAUUACAGAUCAUCCUCUCUGCCCCAGUGCUACUCUAAACAAGUUAUCUCCAGACUUGCACACAUAAAACCAUCAUUAUGCUUAUCUAAACAAAAGGGGCCUCCUUAGAAUGGAAUCUCUCGUUUGUGUGUACACAUAUGUAUCUGUAAGCAAUAGAACAUUUGGUAAUUAUUCU